This 253-nucleotide ribosomal RNA is filed under the name uncultured bacterium. RNAcentral's name for it is "partial 16S ribosomal RNA". It matches the Rfam family "Bacterial small subunit ribosomal RNA", at positions 524 to 776 of the family's 1533-position model. The record is from RNAcentral.
UACGUAGGGAGCAAGCGUUGUCCGGAAUCAUUGGGCGUAAAGCGCGCGUAGGUGGCCUCAUAAGUCCGCUGUGAAAGUCCAAGGCUCAACCUUGGAAAGCCGGUGGAUACUGUGAGGCUAGAGUACGGAAGAGGCGAGUGGAAUUCCUGGUGUAGCGGUGGAAUGCGCAGAUAUCAGGAGGAACACCAAUAGCGAAGGCAGCUCGCUGGGACGUUACUGACACUAAGGCGCGAAAGCGUGGGGAGCGAACAGG